Molecule: ribosomal RNA, 497 nt
Filed under: uncultured bacterium
Lineage: Bacteria
Description: partial 16S ribosomal RNA
Rfam family: Bacterial small subunit ribosomal RNA
Source: RNAcentral
GACGAACGCUGGCGGCGUGCCUAAUACAUGCAAGUUGAGCGCUGAAGGUUGGUACUUGUCCCAACUGGAUGAGCAGCGAACGGGUGAGUAACGCGUGGGGAAUCUGCCUUUGAGCGGGGGACAACAUUUGGAAACGAAUGCUAAUACCGCAUAAAAACUUUAAACACAAGUUUUAAGUUUGAAAGAUGCAAUUGCAUCACUCAAAGAUGAUCCCGCGUUGUAUUAGCUAGUUGGUGAGGUAAAGGCUCACCAAGGCGAUGAUACAUAGCCGACCUGAGAGGGUGAUCGGCCACAUUGGGACUGAGACACGGCCCAGACUCCUACGGGAGGCAGCAGUAGGGAAUCUUCGGCAAUGGACGAAAGUCUGACCGAGCAACGCCGCGUGAGUGAAGAAGGUUUUCGGAUCGUAAAACUCUGUUGGUAGAGAAGAACGUUGGUGAGAGUGGAAAGCUCAUCAAGUGACGGUAACUACCCAGAAAGGGACGGCUAACUACGUG